This 446-nucleotide ribosomal RNA is filed under the name uncultured soil bacterium. RNAcentral describes it as "bacterial SSU rRNA". It matches the Rfam family "Bacterial small subunit ribosomal RNA", at positions 26 to 518 of the family's 1533-position model. The record is from RNAcentral.
AGAGCGAGCGCUGGCGGAAUGCUUAACACAUGCAAGUCGCACGGCCAGCAAUGGCAGUGGCGGACGGGUGAGUAACGCGUAGGAAUAUGUCCAGAGGUGGGGGACAACCCCGGGAAACUGGGGCUAAUACCGCAUAUGAGCUGAGGCUCAAAGCAGUGAUGCGCCUUUGGAGUAGCCUGCGUCCGAUUAGCUUGUUGGUGGGGUAAUGGCCUACCAAGGCGACGAUCGGUAGCUGGUCUGAGAGGACGGCCAGCCACACUGGGACUGAGACACGGCCCAGACUCCUACGGGAGGCAGCAGUGGGGAAUAUUGGACAAUGGGCGCAAGCCUGAUCCAGCAAUUCCGCGUGGGUGAAGAAGGUCUUCGGGAUUGUAAAGCCCUUUCGACGGGUACGAUGAUGACGGUACCCGUAGAAGAAGCCCGGCUAACUUCGUGCCAGCAGCCGC